UACGUAGGGCGCAAGCGUUGUCCGGAAUUAUUGGGCGUAAAGAGCUCGUAGGCGGCUUGUCACGUCGAUUGUGAAAGCCCGAGGCUUAACCUCGGGUCUGCAGUCGAUACGGGCUAGCUAGAGUGUGGUAGGGGAGAUCGGAAUUCCUGGUGUAGCGGUGAAAUGCGCAGAUAUCAGGAGGAACACCGGUGGCGAAGGCGGAUCUCGCUG
RNAcentral lists this ribosomal RNA (210 nucleotides) under uncultured bacterium. RNAcentral describes it as "partial 16S ribosomal RNA". It matches the Rfam family "Bacterial small subunit ribosomal RNA", at positions 524 to 733 of the family's 1533-position model. The record is from RNAcentral.